UCCGGUUUGUCACCGGCAGUCUCAUUAGAGUGCCCAACUGAAUGUAGCAACUAAUGACAAGGGUUGCGCUCGUUGCGGGACUUAACCCAACAUCUCACGACACGAGCUGACGACAGCCAUGCAGCACCUGUCUCAAGGUUCCCGAAGGCACUCUCGUAUCUCUACAAGAUUCCCUGGAUGUCAAGAGUAGGUAAGGUUCUUCGCGUUGCAUCGAAUUAAACCACAUGCUCCACCGCUUGUGCGGGCCCCCGCCAAUUCCUUUGAGUUUUAACCUUGCGGCCGUAGUCCCCAGGCGGUGAACUUAAUGCGUUAGCUGCGGCACUGAUCGGGUCAAUCCGACCAACACCUAGUUCACAACGUUUAGGGCGUGGACUAC
Molecule: unclassified non-coding RNA, 376 nt
Filed under: uncultured bacterium
Lineage: Bacteria
Description: contains 16S-23S intergenic spacer region
Source: RNAcentral